Long non-coding RNA from Bos indicus x Bos taurus (hybrid cattle), 1297 nucleotides. The record is from Ensembl. Lineage: Eukaryota; Metazoa; Chordata; Mammalia; Artiodactyla; Bovidae.
GGGUCAUGGGAGUAGCUUCAGGGGCCUGAGGCUGUGAGAAUGGUGGGGGGCGUGGUCCGGCUCACUGAGGUCCUCACCCUGGGCCGCCUGUGCCAGGACUGGGCCCCGGGGAGGGCCCUGCCGUGGCCUCCCGCCCCAAGACUGGAGCCCUGUCUGCCCCGCAAACCCCCAGACGGAGUGAGGCCCUGGAUGUGAGGUCAGGCCUUGAGUGCCAACAGCAGGCUCAGGGCUCCGUCCACCGCAGAGGGCCUCUGGGGGCGUGUGGGGACCCUGGGAAGUCAGAAUGCCUUCCGAGGACCUGCCAGGGGGCUGAGAGGUGUACCCUAGAGAAGAGAGUAGGACGGGGUGGGUCAAACGAGGAAGCAGGGUCAGCUCAGCAGAGAACUGUGGUCCUCGAAGUCUGCGGCCAAUACCGGGGACGUGAUUAGAAGUGUAGACUCUCAGGACCCGCUGAAUCCGGCUUUCUGAAUCCGAAGAGUCCAGCGGGGCCUCUGCCUGGGAGACGGGUCUUCCCUCCAGGCACACUUGCAGUCUGCAGUCCCUGGGCUGAAGGGUGGCGAAAAUUUUCCUUUAUGAAGAUGGGGAAAAUGCCAUGGUGAACCAAUUGGGGCAGAGAUGAGACACCCGCCCUGCCUGCCCCCCAUCUCAAGUGCAAGAAAAGAUGGUUCCCAGUGGAAGUGAAUUUUGGAAGGAUGCCAUGCGAAACAGUGUAGGUGAACAGCCUGGAAAUACAGAGCCCCUUUAUCCCUCCAGAGUAAAGCCAGGCAUGCUUACUGCCUGCUCCAACCGCCAGGAAAGACUCAGCUUCCCUGAGGCCGGGGCUCCUCUCCUAGAACACCACCACGGAGCACGCAGGUGCCCUCUGGCCCUCUGCGGGGCUCAGAGCUUGGGGAACUGACCCACGACGAUGCCGACACUUGGCUCCUGCUGCUGCCGUGAGCCGUAGACCAUCCUUUGUUCCUGAACCAGGCAUUUUGUGUCUUUGCCAGCAUCCGUGAAACCGUGGCGGCUCCCAUUUGUGAGCUUGCCAGUAGGGCACAUCUCUGACCGUCCCAGGUCCUGACGGGGUGGAACCUCUGGCUGAGUGAACGACUCCACGUAACACAGAGGAGGGGAGAAUCAAGGAAGAGAGCGGAGGAUGCCCGGGUGCAGAUCUGCCCAGGAGGGCCUGCGGGACCGGAUGCCCAAGGAGGAACCCCGGUAGUUGAGCAGCAGGCAAUGCAGGGGCCCUGCUGGGAACCCCCCAAGUCUCAGGCAACCUCUCACUCUCCCUAGUGCCCUGUGCGGGUAGCUGGGG